GGAGAUCACCCAGCUAGGCAUGCUAGAGCACUUUUUCAGUGGGCUCCCCAACGACAAGGCGACGACUCAUUCGUAUGUCAUCCAUAUCAACUUUCGAUGCCAGUUUCUGCGCCUACCAUGGUGACCACAGGUAAUCAGGGUUCCAUUCUGUACAGGGACCCUGAGAAACUGCUAUCACAUGUAAGGAAGGCGGCAGGCGCGCAAAUGACCCACUCCCGACGCGGGAAGGUAGUGAC
This is a non-coding RNA of Pelobates cultripes (western spadefoot toad), 236 nucleotides long. NCBI's taxonomy places the organism in Eukaryota, Metazoa, Chordata, Amphibia, Anura, Pelobatidae. The record is from the annotation of a GenBank genome assembly.